UUUAGAACUCAAGAUAUGGGCUAAACACUGAACAGUGUCUGGGCUGCAGGACAAAUUCUGACUUCUCCAUUGUUGCUAAGAUUUGGACUUCCAAACAACAAAAUUGAGUCUUGGACUCCUCUUUUAGGCCUAUGUCUUAGCUUUCAAGC
Populus trichocarpa (black cottonwood) is the source of this 149-nucleotide non-coding RNA. The record is from Rfam. Lineage: Eukaryota; Viridiplantae; Streptophyta; Magnoliopsida; Malpighiales; Salicaceae.